This 444-nucleotide ribosomal RNA is filed under the name Alteromonas sp. Its description in RNAcentral is "bacterial SSU rRNA". It matches the Rfam family "Bacterial small subunit ribosomal RNA", at positions 556 to 1000 of the family's 1533-position model. The record is from RNAcentral. Lineage: Bacteria; Pseudomonadati; Pseudomonadota; Gammaproteobacteria; Alteromonadales; Alteromonadaceae.
GGGCGUAAGCGCACGCAGGCGGUUUGUUAAGCUAGAUGUGAAAGCCCCGGGCUCAACCUGGGACGGUCAUUUAGAACUGGCAGACUAGAGUCUUGGAGAGGGGAGUGGAAUUCCAGGUGUAGCGGUGAAAUGCGUAGAUAUCUGGAGGAACAUCAGUGGCGAAGGCGACUCCCUGGCCAAAGACUGACGCUCAUGUGCGAAAGUGUGGGUAGCGAACAGGAUUAGAUACCCUGGUAGUCCACACCGUAAACGCUGUCUACUAGCUGUUUGUGACUUUAAGUCGUGAGUAGCGAAGCUAACGCGAUAAGUAGACCGCCUGGGGAGUACGGCCGCAAGGUUAAAACUCAAAUGAAUUGACGGGGGCCCGCACAAGCGGUGGAGCAUGUGGUUUAAUUCGAUGCAACGCGAAGAACCUUACCUACACUUGACAUGUUGAGAAGUUAC